Molecule: non-coding RNA, 82 nt
Organism: Chelonoidis abingdonii (Abingdon island giant tortoise)
Lineage: Eukaryota; Metazoa; Chordata; Testudines; Testudinidae
Source: RefSeq, a predicted model, not a curated record
UCUACCAUUACAUGAUGUAAUUGAAUGGGACUUUUUUUCAUUUGACUUGCUUCUCAUCAGAUCCUAUCUUUUAUUAUUUUCC